UGGGGAAUAUUGCACAAUGGGCGCAAGCCUGAUGCAGCCAUGCCGCGUGUAUGAAGAAGGCCUUCGGGUUGUAAAGUACUUUCAGCGGGGAGGAAGGAAGUAAAGUUAAUACCUUUGCUCAUUGACGUUACCCGCAGAAGAAGCACCGGCUAACUCCGUGCCAGCAGCCGCGGUAAUACGGAGGGUGCAAGCGUUAAUCGGAAUUACUGGGCGUAAAGCGCACGCAGGCGGUUUGUUAAGUCAGAUGUGAAAUCCCCGGGCUCAACCUGGGAACUGCAUCUGAUACUGGCAAGCUUGAGUCUCGUAGAGGGGGGUAGAGUUCCAGGUGUAGCGGUGAAAUGCGUAGAGAUCUGGAGGAAUACCGGUGGCGAAGGCGGCCCCCUGGACGAAGACUGACGCUCAGGUGCGAAAGCGUGGGGAGCAAACAGG
RNAcentral lists this ribosomal RNA (429 nucleotides) under Chloroflexota bacterium. RNAcentral's name for it is "Chloroflexi bacterium partial 16S ribosomal RNA". It matches the Rfam family "Bacterial small subunit ribosomal RNA", at positions 355 to 776 of the family's 1533-position model. The record is from RNAcentral. Lineage: Bacteria; Bacillati; Chloroflexota.